GUGUCAGUAUUACAGCCCAGCUCCUCCUCAUUUUCCCUGACGUUCGCUGGCAGCGCAGGAGGUUGUUCAAGAUGGCGAGCAGAGCCAUGUCCGCGGCAUUGAGCAGGGCAGUAAUGAUCCAGGCCUGCGGGCCCAGCGUCCUGCUGGUCAGGGGCCUCUCUGCCUCCAGUUCCAAAGCCAGAGAAGACAGUUGGCUGAGAUCACUGUUCGUGCGUAAAGUAGAUCCUCGUAAAGAUGCUCAUUCGAACCUACUGGCCAAGAGAGAGACCAGCAACCUCUACAAGAUACAAUUUCACAAUGUAAAACCAGAAUGCCUUGAAGCCUACAACAAGCUCUGUGAGGAGGUACUGCCAAAGGUCUAUGGAGGAGGGGAAUAUCCGUGUACAUUGGUGGGCACUUGGAAUACAUGGUAUGGCGAACAAGAUCAGGCAGUUCACUUGUGGCGGUAUGAAGGAGGAUAUCCAGCACUCACAGAGGUGAUGAAUAAACUUCGGAAAAACAAGGAAUUUGCAGAGUUUCGCAAAGAACGGAGCAGUAUGUUGCUAUCCCGUAAAAAUCAGCUACUACUUGAAUUCAGCUUCUGGAAUGAGCCUGUCCCUAGACCAGGGCCAAAUAUUUAUGAGCUGAGAUCUUACCUACUUAGGCCUGGAACCAUGAUUGAAUGGGGUAACCACUGGGCUCGUGCAAUUCGAUAUCGGCAGGACGGUAGUGAAGCUGUAGCUGGAUUUUUCUCGCAGAUUGGACAGCUAUACAUGGUCCACCAUUUGUGGGCAUACAGUGAUCUGCAGUCCAGGGAUGACAUAAGGAACUCGGCCUGGCAGAAAGAUGGCUGGGAUGAAUGUGUCUACUACACAGUCCCUCUCAUACAGGAGAUGGACUCCAGGAUUAUGAUCCCAUUGAAGAUUUCUCCACUCAAGUAAUGCACACAGUGUCUAUACCCACAUUUCAAAGAGUGGCAAACCUUUCGGUCAAUGACGUCAUCGAUGAAUGAUCACAUUUGGGCUCCACGUGGAUAAUUCAGAACAUAGCUAUUCCUAUGGGCAAUUCAUGGAUUGUUUUAAUCUCCCUAAGAAUAUUGAUUUGGGUAUACUCCCUCCUGUAAUUAUGGUCUGGUAAGCAUUGCUUAGCAAAGUGGUGGUGAUAACUUACUGAGUAGGUUGACCUUGUGUGACGCCACCUUUAUGCUGCACAUGUUAUGUGCAGCCCUCUGAAGUAGUCAGUAGGCAUUUGAGUCUCCCACAAUGUGCUAGGCCAAUGACGCCCAACCUGCAGCCCUCCAGCUGUUAGAAAACUACAACUCCCACGAUGGCCUACUGUAGGCUGAUCGCUGUAAGCUGUCCGGGCAUGCUGGGAGUUGUAGUUUUGCAACAGCUGGAGGGCCGCAGGUUAAGCAUUCCUAUGCUAGGCUGUCUACCACUGGCCUAGCACUGUACACUGUGGUACUAGCGCUAUAUUAUGGUGCAGCUUCCCAGUAUUCACAGCUGUGAGAGCCAGUGCAUAGGAAUUCUAUGGCCAGGGUCAAAUCUGCGGCAGAGGUUCCGUUAUUAGAUUGUGGCAAAAAUGCAGGACAAAAUGCCGCAACAGACUGCCUCACUCAGGUACAUGGGGGGAGCUUUACAAAGCUGUUCCAUUCAAAAUUACAUGUUUGGUAGAAUAUGAUGGUUCACAACCUUCCUGAAACAUUGAGAUCUGAUAUUGGCAAGCCAUAGGUUAACUGGAUUCCAACCUGGCUAGUAGGAGGUGGCUUAUGAAGGACAAACUCACAAAGGAAUGAUGGAUAACAGACUCCAGUAUGUUUAUGUCCACUGAUGCUCUACACAAAAAAUAAAAUGUAAUUUUUGGGGUAAAUUGCCAUAAAAUAACUAGAUGUAUUAUACUGUAUUGCGUUGUACACAGAAUAACCACACAUAAAUAAAUAUAUAAUGCUUAAAGUAAGAAGUCCAGGCCGGUAUCACACGGACCGUGUUCCACGGACAUGUGAAUGCAGCCUAAUACAGAGCUUUUAAUAUUCUGUAUAGCCAUAAAUUUGAAAGAUAACAUGCUGGCUAUCUACAGCCACCACUAGAGGCUGCAUGGGAGCUUACUUCAAUCAAAAUAGUAUGGAUGGAGUUACUGAGCUCCCUCUAGUGGCGCCUGCUGGUAAUCUGCAUUUUGGGGGAGAUUUAUUAUCUCCCUUGCGCCAGCAAAGUGGCUUUAAAAAGUUGAAAGCUGUGUGUUUGCACCUUUUUAAAUGCAACUUUU
Bufo bufo (common toad) is the source of this 2241-nucleotide RNA transcript. It is a transcript of the gene named nipsnap homolog 2, with no coding region annotated. Lineage: Eukaryota; Metazoa; Chordata; Amphibia; Anura; Bufonidae. The record is from RefSeq and is a predicted model, not a curated record. The transcript is spliced from 11 exons.